RNAcentral lists this ribosomal RNA (96 nucleotides) under uncultured bacterium. Its description in RNAcentral is "partial 16S ribosomal RNA". The record is from RNAcentral.
CACCGCCCGUCACAUCAUGAAAGCCGGUUGUACCCGAAGUCCGCAAGCAACCGCAAGGAAGCGAGCGGCCGAAGGUAUGGCUGGUGAUUGGGAGUG